RNAcentral lists this ribosomal RNA (255 nucleotides) under uncultured bacterium. Its description in RNAcentral is "partial 16S ribosomal RNA". It matches the Rfam family "Bacterial small subunit ribosomal RNA", at positions 524 to 776 of the family's 1533-position model. The record is from RNAcentral.
UACGAAGGGGGCUAGCGUUGCUCGGAAUUACUGGGCGUAAAGCGCACGUAGGCGGCUUUCUAAGUCGGGGGUGAAAUCCUGGAGCUCAACUCCAGAACUGCCUUCGAUACUGGAGAGCUUGAGUCCGGGAGAGGUGAGUGGAACUGGCGAGUGUAGAGGUGAAAUUCGUAGAUAUUCGCAAGAACACCAGUGGCGAAGGCGGCUCACUGGCCCGGUACUGACGCUGAGGUGGCGAAAGCGUGGGGAGCAAACAGG